UGGGGAAUCUUCGGCAAUGGGGGCAACCCUGACCGAGCAACGCCGCGUGAGUGAAGAAGGUCUUCGGAUCGUAAAACUCUGUUGUUAGAGAAGAACACGAGUGAGAGUAACUGUUCAUUCGAUGACGGUAUCUAACCAGCAAGUCACGGCUAACUACGUGCCAG
RNAcentral lists this ribosomal RNA (164 nucleotides) under uncultured bacterium. RNAcentral's name for it is "partial 16S rRNA". It matches the Rfam family "Bacterial small subunit ribosomal RNA", at positions 355 to 511 of the family's 1533-position model. The record is from RNAcentral.